GUAAAACAGUUCCUGGAAAAUCUAAACUAGUUCAUGGAUUUGCAUCAGGAUCUAUGAAGAUGCAACAGGCUGAUGUAAUUAAAAGGAGAGUGAAGGUGUUUUUCACGUGAGAGAA
Vidua macroura (Pin-tailed whydah) is the source of this 115-nucleotide long non-coding RNA. RefSeq lists it as uncharacterized. The record is from RefSeq and is a predicted model, not a curated record. NCBI's taxonomy places the organism in Eukaryota, Metazoa, Chordata, Aves, Passeriformes, Viduidae. The transcript has 2 exons.